ACAGGCUUACACAUGCAAGUCGAGGGGCAGCAUUGGAUUAGCUUGCUAAUCCAGAUGGCGACCGGCGCACGGGUGAGUAACGCGUAUCCAACCUGGCCCUUAGUAGGGGAUAGCCCGGCGAAAGUCGGAUUAAUACCCUAUGUUCUUCUUUGAUGGCAUCUGAUGAGAAGCAAAGGUUUACCGCUGAGGGAUGGGGAUGCGUCUGAUUAGGCAGUCGGCGGGGUAACGGCCCACCGAGCCGACGAUCAGUAGGGGUUCUGAGAGGAAGGUCCCCCACAUUGGUACUGAGACACGGACCAAACUCCUACGGGAGGCAGCAGUGAGGAAUAUUGGUCAAUGGGCGCGAGCCUGAACCAGCCAAGUAGCGUGCAGGAUGACUGCCCUAUGGGUUGUAAACUGCUUUUAUGCGGGAAUAAAGUCAGGUACGCGCACCUGUUUGUAUGUACCGCAUGA
RNAcentral lists this ribosomal RNA (453 nucleotides) under uncultured rumen bacterium. RNAcentral's name for it is "bacterial SSU rRNA". It matches the Rfam family "Bacterial small subunit ribosomal RNA", at positions 42 to 485 of the family's 1533-position model. The record is from RNAcentral.